This 248-nucleotide unclassified non-coding RNA is filed under the name Hevea brasiliensis (rubber tree). Lineage: Eukaryota; Viridiplantae; Streptophyta; Magnoliopsida; Malpighiales; Euphorbiaceae. The record is from RNAcentral.
GGUAUAAGCAGUAGGGAGGCCACUGGAGUUAUGGAAAGCCAAAAGAGCCUAUAACCCAACCAUCUGUGGACCGCUAGGAUUGAGAGACCAUACAUGCCAAUUGCUAGUGGAUGCUCCUGUUUUGCGAAACGCAAUACCAACCGUUUGGUUUGAUGGAUGGUAAUUCCAAUAGAUAAAAGGACUCAACACAGGAAGAUCACUGCACGUGCUGAAUACUUGAUUGGUAGAGAAGGUAUAGCUCCCGCAAG